UACACAGGGUGCGAGCGUUAAUCGGAAUUACUGGGCGUAAAGCGUGCGCAGGCGGCUUUGCAAGACAGAUGUGAAAUCCCCGGGCUCAACCUGGGAACUGCAUUUGUGACUGCAAGGCUAGAGUACGGCAGAGGGGGAUGGAAUUCCGCGUGUAGCAGUGAAAUGCGUAGAUAUGCGGAGGAACACCAAUGGCGAAGGCAAUCCCCUGGGCCUGUACUGACGCUCAUGCACGAAAGCGUGGGGAGCAAACAGG
Molecule: ribosomal RNA, 253 nt
Filed under: uncultured bacterium
Lineage: Bacteria
Description: partial 16S ribosomal RNA
Rfam family: Bacterial small subunit ribosomal RNA
Source: RNAcentral